GGAGUAAAAGUCGUAACAAGGUCUCCGUAGGUGAACCUGCGGAGGGAUCAUUACAGAGUUCAUGCCCUACCGGGUAGAUCUCCCACCCUAUGUUAUUAUUACUUUGUUGCUUUGGCGGGCCGUUAGGCUCCGGCCCGACUACCGGCCCCGGCUGGUAAGCGCCCGCCAGAGGACCCAAAACCCUGAAUAUUAGUGUCGUCUGAGUACUAUAUAAUAGUUAGAACUUUCAACAACGGAUCUCUUGGUUCUG
RNAcentral lists this unclassified non-coding RNA (250 nucleotides) under plant metagenome. Its description in RNAcentral is "partial contains small subunit ribosomal RNA, internal transcribed spacer 1, and 5.8S ribosomal RNA". The stretch from base 1 to 53 matches the Rfam family "Eukaryotic small subunit ribosomal RNA", at positions 1779 to 1831 of the family's 1831-position model. The record is from RNAcentral.